CUGGCGGCGUGCCUAAUACAUGCAAGUCGAGCGGACAGAAGGGAGCUUGCUCCCGGAUGUUAGCGGCGGACGGGUGAGUAACACGUGGGUAACCUGCCUGUAAGACUGGGAUAACUCCGGGAAACCGGAGCUAAUACCGGAUAGUUCCUUGAACCGCAUGGUUCAAGGAUGAAAGACGGUUUCGGCUGUCACUUACAGAUGGACCCGCGGCGCAUUAGCUAGUUGGUGAGGUAACGGCUCACCAAGGCGACGAUGCGUAGCCGACCUGAGAGGGUGAUCGGCCACACUGGGACUGAGACACGGCCCAGACUCCUACGGGAGGCAGCAGUAGGGAAUCUUCCGCAAUGGACGAAAGUCUGACGGAGCAACGCCGCGUGAGUGAUGAAGGUUUUCGGAUCGUAAAGCUCUGUUGUUAGGGAAGAACAAGUGCAAGAGUAACUGCUUGCACCUUGACGGUACCUAACCAGAAAGCCACGGCUAACUACGUGCCAG
This 492-nucleotide ribosomal RNA is filed under the name marine sediment bacterium ISA-7068. RNAcentral describes it as "bacterial SSU rRNA". It matches the Rfam family "Bacterial small subunit ribosomal RNA", at positions 36 to 511 of the family's 1533-position model. The record is from RNAcentral.